RNAcentral lists this ribosomal RNA (591 nucleotides) under uncultured bacterium. RNAcentral describes it as "bacterial SSU rRNA". It matches the Rfam family "Bacterial small subunit ribosomal RNA", at positions 338 to 945 of the family's 1533-position model. The record is from RNAcentral.
CCUACGGGAGGCAGCAGUGGGGAAUAUUGGACAAUGGGCGAAAGCCUGAUCCAGCAAUGCCGCGUGAGUGAUGAAGGCCUUAGGGUUGUAAAGCUCUUUUACCAGGGAUGAUAAUGACAGUACCUGGAGAAUAAGCUCCGGCUAACUCCGUGCCAGCAGCCGCGGUAAUACGGAGGGAGCUAGCGUUAUUCGGAAUUACUGGGCGUAAAGCGUACGUAGGCGGUUAUUCAAGUCAGAGGUGAAAGCCCGGGGCUCAACCCCGGAACUGCCUUUGAAACUAGAUAACUAGAGUCUUGGAGAGGUUAGUGGAAUUCCGAGUGUAGAGGUGAAAUUCGUAGAUAUUCGGAAGAACACCAGUGGCGAAGGCGACUAACUGGACAAGUACUGACGCUGAGGUACGAAAGCGUGGGGAGCAAACAGGAUUAGAUACCCUGGUAGUCCACGCCGUAAACGAUGAUAACUAGCUGUCCGGGCACUUGGUGCCUGGGUGGCGCAGCUAACGCAUUAAGUUAUCCGCCUGGGGAUACGGUCGCAAGAUUAAAACUUAAAGAUAUAGCGNGNGAGNGCGACGACGACGACGACGGAGGAGAG